AGGGAACAUGCCACAGUGUUAGAGAGAUUGACGCAGCAAGAGCAUUUACAUAGUGUGCAAAAUCUGCUUUUCCUUAACUAAUGUCAUUGCCAGCCAGUCAACACCAGGUUUGUUCCCCUAUAUCCCUCUUAAGUUGCCAUACUUAAGCAAGAACAUGUGAAGAGCAGUUUUUUAGCACUGGGCCUAUUGCAUGGGCAUGUCCCUGGAGCUGCAGCUCCAUCAGCC
Molecule: non-coding RNA, 225 nt
Organism: Pelobates cultripes (western spadefoot toad)
Lineage: Eukaryota; Metazoa; Chordata; Amphibia; Anura; Pelobatidae
Source: the annotation of a GenBank genome assembly